CAGUCGCCGCGGUAAUACGUAGGUGGCAAGCGUUGUCCGGAAUUAUUGGGGGUAAAGGGCUCGCAGGCGGUUUCUUAAGUCUGAUGUGAAAGCCCCCGGCUCAACCGGGGAGGGUCAUUGGAAACUGGGAAACUUGAGUGCAGAAGAGGAGAGUGGAAUUCCACGUGUAGCGGUGAAAUGCGUAGAGAUGUGGAGGAACACCAGUGGCGAAGGCGACUCUCUGGUCUGUAACUGACGCUGAGGAGCGAAAGCGUGGGGAGCGAACAGGAUUAGAGACCCCGGUAGUCCCUGUCUCUUAUAA
RNAcentral lists this ribosomal RNA (301 nucleotides) under uncultured bacterium. RNAcentral describes it as "partial 16S ribosomal RNA". It matches the Rfam family "Bacterial small subunit ribosomal RNA", at positions 509 to 809 of the family's 1533-position model. The record is from RNAcentral.